CUGGAUGGUAGUGUAUUGGACUACCAUGGCAGUCACGGGUAACGGAGAAUUAGGGUUCGAUUCCGGAGAGGGAGCCUGAGAAACGGCUACCACAUCUACGGAAGGCAGCAGGCGCGCAAAUUGCCCAAUCCCGACACGGGGAGGCAGUGACAAGAAAUAACAACUCUUGGAUUUCUAAGAAGUGUAAUGAGGAUAAUUUACAACCCUUACCGAAAGCAAUUGGAGGGCAAGUCUGGUGCCAGCAGCCGCGGUAAUUCCAGCUCCAAUAGCGUAUAUUAAAGUUGUUGCAGUUAAAAAGCUCGUAGUUGAAGUUCUGAUUGAUCGGGCCUCGCGCUUUAUAGCCGAGGAACCGACAGUCAUCCGCUUGCAAAUAUAUGUUCGCCUUUAACCGGGUGGCUAUAUGAGUAAGCAAUUUACCUUGAGAAAAACAGAGUGUUCCAGGCAGGUUUGUCCGGAAUGCAUUAGCAUGGAAUAAUAGAAUAUGACUGAAGUCGAUUUAUUGGUUUAAGGCUUUAGUAAUGAUUAAUAGGAACAGUCGGGGGCAUUGGUACUUGACAGUCAGAGGUGAAAUUCUAGGAUUUGUCAA
RNAcentral lists this ribosomal RNA (586 nucleotides) under uncultured ciliate. Its description in RNAcentral is "SSU rRNA". It matches the Rfam family "Eukaryotic small subunit ribosomal RNA", at positions 319 to 932 of the family's 1831-position model. The record is from RNAcentral. Lineage: Eukaryota; Ciliophora.